UACGUAGGUGGCAAGCGUUGUCCGGAUUUAUUGGGUUUAAAGGGUGCGUAGGCGGUCUUAUAAGUCAGUGGUGAAAUACGGCAGCUCAACUGUCGAGGUGCCAUUGAUACUGAAGAUCUUGAGUUCGGGAGAGGUGAGUGGAACUGCGAGUGUAGAGGUGAAAUUCGUAGAUAUUCGCAAGAACACCAGUGGCGAAGGCGGCUCACUGGCCCGAUACUGACGCUGAGGCACGAAAGCUAGGGGAGCAAACGGG
This 253-nucleotide ribosomal RNA is filed under the name uncultured bacterium. Its description in RNAcentral is "partial 16S ribosomal RNA". It matches the Rfam family "Bacterial small subunit ribosomal RNA", at positions 524 to 776 of the family's 1533-position model. The record is from RNAcentral.